CCUACGGGAGGCUGCAGUGGGGAAUAUUGGACAAUGGGGGCAACCCUGAUCCAGCCAUGCCGCGUGUGUGAAGAAGGCCCUCGGGUUGUAAAGCACUUUCAGUGAGGAAGAACGCCUGGUGGUUAAUACCCAUCAGGAAAGACAUCACUCACAGAAGAAGCACCGGCUAACUCCGUGCCAGCAGCCGCGGUAAUACGGAGGGUGCGAGCGUUAAUCGGAAUUACUGGGCGUAAAGCGCGCGUAGGUGGCUUGAUAAGCCGGUUGUGAAAGCCCCGGGCUCAACCUGGGAACGGCAUCCGGAACUGUCAAGCUAGAGUGAAGGAGAGGAAGGUAGAAUUCCCGGUGUAGCGGUGAAAUGCGUAGAGAUCGGGAGGAAUACCAGGGGAGAAGGCGGCCUUCUGGACUGACACUGACACGGAGGUGCGAAAGCGUGGGUAGCCAACAGGAUUAGAUACCCUAGGAGUC
Molecule: ribosomal RNA, 465 nt
Filed under: Vreelandella stevensii
Lineage: Bacteria; Pseudomonadati; Pseudomonadota; Gammaproteobacteria; Oceanospirillales; Halomonadaceae
Description: partial 16S ribosomal RNA
Rfam family: Bacterial small subunit ribosomal RNA
Source: RNAcentral